Rhineura floridana is the source of this 5092-nucleotide long non-coding RNA. RefSeq lists it as uncharacterized. The transcript has 3 exons. The record is from RefSeq and is a predicted model, not a curated record. Lineage: Eukaryota; Metazoa; Chordata; Lepidosauria; Squamata; Rhineuridae.
GGAGGCAAAGCAGACAGACCAUGUGUUUCCUAACUUAAGAUUCAACGUUUAAAAGACCAGUCCCCCCUCCCAAAAUCGCCUUACGCUUCAUCGCGAUACCAAGCACAUCCCCCUCCCUCUACAUCCUAAAACGCUUGCGUUUUAAAACGCAUUCGAGACUCCUGGAGUUUUGCAGACGACCUAGGCCUCAACUUUCUGUUUGCAACACGCCCUGCUACUUCGACCCGCACACGGCGAAAAGGAGAAAAACAAGCAGUGGUGCCCGCAUUCAGCAGGGCCCUAUUUGAAAGUUUCUAGUCCCAUCCGUGGGAAACCUCCACCCCACUCCAUUUUGCAAAUAUUCGGCGCCCCUUUCCUCCUAUCCGUUCCCAAAGCGACGGCCCGCAAGGAGCUUUACCUUUCCAAAGUGACACCAGAAACGGAGGUCUAGGCACGCACAAGGUGGGUGAGACGCCAGAUGCGCGGACAGAGAGCUUUCAUGGCAGAACCGGGCCUAUUUCUUUCCCCUCCUUUCCUCCGUCAUCGUGUCACACCGAUCAAACAUGUCUGUAUGAGAGUGAGAGUCCUAUUUGGCCGCGGUGACUUCCUGAUUCUCCGCACUGCUGAACAUACAGAGGGAAGGGAAGAAGGGGGAAAAGCCGCCCCGAUCAGCGCGAAACCUCGCCUCUUCCUCUCUCCCAGCAAGCCAGCUCAAGCACGGAGAGGCUGCCUCCAGCUGUCCUCCUACUCCUCCAGUCUCACCCAAACGCUUGGCGACCAGUAGCAAACUGCACCAUUCGCGCUGAAUCCUCCUCCUCCUCCCGCCUUCCUCCUCCUCCUCGCACUUAAUCAUCAACCAAAAAAACUUUUCCCCCCUCCCUGGCCGAACAACAAAAAAUCAUGGCGAGUGCUCAGAUUCCCUGCUCCAAUCGGGGUAUGCUACACAACACCCCCCCCGAAAAAAAGGUUGAGGGAGGGAGGUUGUGUGUGCCUGUCUAUGUAUUUACGCGCAAACGCCUUUCGAAAUAAAUAAGUGCUCGACGACAAUAUCCACCCCUCCCCGCCGGAAAGAACAUGCACGCGUGAUUAUAAUAAAAAGAAAAGACUGAGCUGCUGCAAAGGAGGGGACUGCUUUCGGCGGGGAGAAGAACGGGUAAGCCAGGCUAUUUUAGGACACGCAUCGCGACACCUUCGCAGCAGGAGAACAGAAGACCGACUGUGUCGGAAUACCAAGAUUAUUAUGAUUAUUAUUAAGACGCCAAGCUGGAAGGCAACAAGAACAGCGAUGUCUGGCAGAUCAAGAGCCGGCUUUCACCACCCCUAGCCUCUUCUGUGCGUACUGUUUCUGACAGUCAGACGGAGAUUAUCCGGAUCAUGGCCUUCCUUGGCUGGGCUGGUUAAUGCCGCUUGCCGAAGGAGGGAGCCACCCUCCCCAUCUGUAGUCACCCGUCCCUCGGCAGCAUGUCAACUCCGUGUUUGAACUAGAGGAAAGGGAGAUCACAUGCAACAAUCUCCUCCUGAAGAGAGAGAGAGAGAGAACCCAAAACGCUUCAGCUUUUGCCGUCCUCGGGGCAGGACACUGCACGAACUUCCAACCCACCAGCCGCGGCUUGUGCCGCCCCAGCAACAGCCACACGCCUAGAAUUUCCCAAGCAGAACCCUCCUGCAGAUUCCGGGAGGAAAACAGUGAGAUAUGAGAGGGGGAGGGGAGGGAUGAUCUUUCACCCAACGCCGCUCCGUAUUUAUAGCCACCAAAAUACAGCUCAGCUCAGUCAAUCAUGCGCAGGGUAAAAGAGGAGGCAAACCCAACCCUACCGAAGCAAACAAACUGCUCUUGGCGGGCUUGUAGCUUCUUGGAAUCUAUUUCUGGCUCGCUCUCUCCUUCUGUUUCUUUUCCCUGGUUUCCCGGAGUCGUCUCUCUCUCUCUCUCUCUUAAAGCAUAAAAAAAAACAAGCCCCGUGUAAGAGGAAAGCAUCCAGAGCAGCUGAUUCUGGCUUCUCCUAUCGCCUCCCUUUGUAAAUCGCUCUUGCAAAUGUGCAGCCUUUCCUCUCUCGACCUUCUCCCUGGGUUCAGCUGACUCACAAAGUCAGCGGCUGUGCUUCCCUAUGAUGAAAUGUCACGAUCCAGCAUGUUUUAUUUUCAAAAAUGAAUGGUGAUUACGAUACAAAACUUUCUUCUGGCGUGUUUUUUUUGGGGGGGGGGAGGUAUGAGAAGAAGGCGGAACGAAUAUGAAGACAGGAACUAUAGAUGGGAUUUGUUUAUAUGUUUGUGGGGCGGGGGAUGCGGCUGGCUCGGGGUAUUUUAUUUUCUUGAAAGAAAGCGGAUGUGCACAGUCAAAGGCUAAGUAAAUUACCACCCCCCUAAACCAGAGUAGCGGAGAAGGUGAAGCAAAAGAUGGAUGAAUAGGGGAGAAGGAAGGAAGGAGAAGUUGUAAGUAAUAUUUACCUGGCUGGGGAAGAGUGGUGUGCCAGAUCUCUCCUUUUCUAUAUGAGUCACUCAGAGUACAGAUCCAGCGAGAGGAACUAGAUUAUGAAUAUGACUUCAUUGAUGACAGCCAUUCCCUCCUCUUCCUAAACUCCAGCCCCGCCUCCUGGCUCGUCCCACUUUCCUUUCCCUCCGCCCUAAGCCCAACGCUACGGUUCUGGAAGAGAGAGCCUGCUACUGGCUGAGCAGAGCGAAAGCUCCCGCCCUACAGGUUGGGACGAAGGGCGGAUUCGCGGCUGUGAACUGUCACUCACGUGACAGCCACAAGAAGGAGGAGUUGCCGCUGCUCAGGAAUGUGCGGAUAGACAGAGCUGUCUGUGCGGGCAAGUGUGUAUGCCUCCUCGGUGCAACGUGUGGAUAGAGUAGCUGUGAAUGUAUUGUGCACGCUCACGCAGUACUGUUUUCUAUCUGGCACACGUGCUCCGACGCUUUUCUUGCUGGUGGAUCGCCUGGAGCUGGAAAGGCUCGUUCUUGGAAAGAGGGAGGGGGUGCGGAGAACAUUCCAGCUCAAAUCUGUCUGCCAAUCAGCUGCCCUUUCAACUUUCAAGUGCCCAUUAAUGAAGUCCUGGCACCAGCAGCCAUAUACUGUUGUUUACCAAACAUUCCCUGGGAGAAAAAGAAGAGCGAUAUGGGAGCUCUGAAAGCUAUUUUAGGAAUGCAAUCUGUAUGCUAACAAGGCUGCUACGGUGAUAGGAGGGCAGUUGAAGGUAAAUCUGGUGCUUAGGGCUAGCGCAAGAUCUCAAGAUGGUAUACAUGGUUCUCUUCUGCUCAUUUUAUCGUAACCAGGAUAACAUCAUAACCCAGGCAGUCAAAGUUUGGUGACAGUGGAAGUUGUGUCCCUUUGACUUUUCUGCAUUUCUGUGCAUGUGUGCUUGGGAUUCUGUUCUGCAGUAGGGAUAGUGAAUAUAGCAGAAAGAGCAAGGAUGAGUUUCUUUGCAUCUUCUCUACUUCCAACGGAGGCAAAGCGUGGACUAUGAAAAGGGGGCAACAAAAGUGCUGUCAUAAAUUAUACUGUCUUGAAAUAAGAGCAAAAUUAAUAAAACAGUAAAGUUGCAAUACACUAAAGAAGGGCCAGGGGCCAGGCUUGAUCAAUGGUUAUAGCUGUGUGUUUAAAUAAUAUGGGGCAUAUUUCCCUGUUUAUCAGUUACAAUUUAGCCUGCAGUCCUAACCACAUAACUGGGAGUGAGGCCCAUUGCAUUCAGUAUUCAAGGCAUUACAUUCAACAAAUUGAAUCCAUUUAGUUUUGCCACAGCCUGAUGAUUAUCAGCUUGUGGUAACAAGGAGGUGGGCUUUUUCACUGGCGGCAUCAGUGUUGUGGAAUGCCUUCCCUGUUGAAGUAAAUGAGGCUCCAUCAGUAUUGGCAUUCCACUGGCUCCGGUGAAUAAGCACCUCUUUAGGCAAGCAUUCCUACGCACUUGAACUUCUGAUUUUAUUAACUGGUUUGAUUGUUUUUAACUGUUUUGUCAUGUUUUUAAUGGGUUUGUCUUAAUAGUAUAUUUUAAUUAAGGAUAUUUUAAUAUUCUAAUUGAAUUGUAAUUUGGUAUUUUAAUUAUGUAUGUAUUUUAUAAUUGAUUUUAUGUUGUAAACUGCUUAGAAGCCAUUUUGACAUAUAAACAGUAUGUCAGAUCAAUCAAUAAAAACGGGGCUUGCUUCUCAGGAUUGUGGAUAGUCUGGAAGCAGAGUACAAAUGCAGGAGCUUUUCUCCUCUGUCUCAGCUCCCCCACUUGUAUAGGUGCCCCUUUUUAAUAUUCAUGGUGAAUCCACAGUCCCUCUGCCCUUUCUGUCUUCUGUAGAGUAAACAGCUAAGGGGUAAGCUUCCAUGCACGACAGCUUGCCUGGACUGGCCUUCAACGCUGCAGAAAUCAAACCAAAUGACCAUUUCUUUCAGUCAGAAGGAUACAGGAAAGAGGAAGGAAUAUGAAAUUAAUCUCUCAGGCAAAAUAAAAUGUUCAGCUUAUGUGAGAGUCAAAGCACUGAUUACUUUUGUUGGCUAUAAAUCAUCGUGUGAACGGAUUUUGUUUGAGGGUUAGAGGACAGUUGGAUCUUCAAUGGUUACGCUAAGCUCAAGCCACAGGAAGGCAACAGGGUUUCACUGAUGGACUCAAACGCAGCAUAUUUCAUUCUCUCAUUGGUGAGGACUAAGGAACAGGGUCCAUUGGCUUUGUCUCUGUACAGAUAUAUUCCUUUUGCAUAAAAUAUUGCACAGGCAUGGAGGAUAGCAAUAAGUAUUCUGGUCACAAAAUGACGGUGGUAAGGCGCAAUCCCUCUGAAGAGAUAAAUUAAAUAUGUAAAAUCAUAAAAUACAAUCCAAGAGAUAAAUUAUUCUUGUACUGGUUGAUCUUAGUAUAUGUAAAGAUGAAAGUAAGGUAAAUCACUUAACAUAAGGAAUACCUCAAGUUGUUAUACAAAGCAUGGGGGAGGGGAACUGGAUUUUGUCGUGUUGGACCUAAAGUAAUAAAGUAGUAAUGCCUACUGAUGUAUUUAUUAUUUAUUUUAUUUAUUAAAUUUCUAUCCCGCCCUUCCUCCCAGUAGGAACCCAGGGCGGCAAAUCAAGUAAUGCAGGGAUGCACAACUCAAAUGGCUUUGGGGACCAUUUUCUAUAUAGGGAACCAAGAAGGGGGGCAUUAUU